AUGUGGUGCAAUGGUGGCUAUGCGUUUAAUUAAAAAGCUGACGAGAAAAGGUUCGAAUC
This 59-nucleotide transfer RNA is filed under the name Tiarina fusus. RNAcentral's name for it is "Tiarina fusa partial tRNA". Lineage: Eukaryota; Ciliophora; Prostomatea; Prorodontida; Colepidae. The record is from RNAcentral.